AUGGCUGACACCGGAGGUCAGCCGAGCCAGACGGCGGCGGCACCCCGCAACGACGGCGGGGAUGGGAGCCGCUCGCGCACUCCACCACGGGGGCGCAGUCGUGGACGGAGCCGCGCACGGAGGGAGCGACAGGUGGUGAUCCACCAGGCGGCGGCCACGGAGCGCGCGCCGCUCGUGCCCGGUGCGGGCACCACGUUCCCGACGCUAACGUCCACGAACUACAUCGAGUGGUCCCUCGUGAUGAAGGUGCACCUGGAGUCUUGGGGGCUCUGGGACGCGAUCCAAGGCAACGCACAACACGUGCGCGACGACAAGACGACGCUCGGCGUUCUGUUCCGAGCCGUUCCCCCGGAGAUGCUCGGCGUCCUCGUCGUCAAGGAGACGGCGAAGGAGGCCUGGGACACCAUCAAGGUCAUGCGCAUGGGGGUGCACCGGGUGCGCGAGGCGACCGCGCAACGACUGCGCGCGGAGUUCGAGCAGAUCACCUUCCGCGACGGCGAGACUCUCGACUCCUUCGGCAUGCGGAUCACCUCCCUAGUCAACCAGUUGCGUACGCUGGGGGACAACGUCGACGAGGUGCGCGUGAUCCAGAAGAUCCUUCGUGUCGUCCCCGCCCGCUACGCCCAGAUCGCAGUAGCGAUCGAGACGCUCCUUGACCUGACCACAAUCUCGGUCGAGGAGCUGAUCGGUCGACUGCGCACCGCAGAGGAGCGCUGUGGUGGCGGGGAGGCUCAGGCCAGCGGAGGCGGCCAGUUGCUCAUGACGGAGCAGCAGUGGGACGUGCGGCGCCGGGAGCGCGAGCAGGGCCAGGGGUCCGGCUCGAAUGGCGCCGGCAACGGGAACGGCAACGGGGGCGGCGGCAAUCGCCGCCGUGGCAAGCCGCAGAACCAGAGGCGCGGCAACGACGCUCAAGGCCAAGGCGGCGGCAGCGGCCGCGACAACACCGGCAACGGCGGGCGCGACAUGUCUAAGGUGAAGUGUUACAAUUGCAACAAAAAUGGCCACUUCUCCCGUGAUUGCACCGAGCCCCGGCGGGAACGAAAGGGGGAGGCUCACCUGGCGCAAGGUGGGGCUGAGGAGAGCUCGCUCCUGCUCGCGACGGCGGACGUGAGCACCACGGCCGAACCCACGCCAGAGCACGUACUGCUCAACGAAGAGCACUCCCAGGCGCGCGCAGCGGCAGACGGCCAGUCCUGCGACCUCGCCUGGUACCUCGACACGGGUGCGAGCAACCACAUGUCGGGCCGGCGAGAGAUCUUCUCGGCGCUGGACACCGGCGUCCGCGACGCUGUGAAACUUGGGGACGGCUCGGCGGUCCAGAUCGAGGGGAGAGGGACGAUCCUCUUCCAAUGCCGCAACGGUGAGCACUUGGUACUGUCAGAUGUGUAUUACAUCCCAAAGCUCUGCAGCAACAUCGUCAGCAUCGGACAGUUGGACGAGCUCGCUUACGAGACCCACAUAAGCUUCGGCGUGCUCCAACUACGUGAUCCGGGUGGGCGUCUCCUCGCGCGGGUGCAUCGGAACGAGGGGAGGCUGUACGUGCUGCAGCUCACUCCGGCCCGGCCAGUAUGCUUCGUGGCACACGCCGGAGAGGAUGCGUGGCGCUGGCAUGCGCGCUACGGCCACGUGAAUUUCCGGGCUCUACGCCAACUUGCCCGGAAUGAUCUGGUGCGCGGCCUCCCGCUAUUCGACGAGGCGGAUCGUGUCUGUGAGGCGUGCCUCGCCGGCAAGCAGCGACGGGCACCCUUCCCUCAGGCAGCUCUCCGUAGAGCCGGCGAGGUCCUUGAGCUGGUGCAUGCGGACCUCUGUGGGCCGAUCUCCCCUCCAACGCCAGGAGGGAAGCGAUACUUCCUGUUGCUGGUAGAUGACAAGAGCAGGCACAUGUGGUUGUACCUGCUCGCGACCAAGGACGAGGCACAGCCAGCACUGAAACGGUUCCAGGCCAUGGCGGAGCUCGAGUCCGGCCGGCAGCUCAAGGCGCUGCGCACGGACCGCGGCGGGGAAUUCACGUCCUCCAGCCUCGGUGAGUACUACACCGACCAGGGAGUCCAGCGCCAGCUCACGGCGCCCUACACGCCUCAGCAGAACGGCGUGGUCGAGCGCCGGAACCAGACCAUCGUGGGCAUGGCGCGCAGCCUACUGAAGGCAAAGGGCGUGCCGGCACGGUUCUGGGGCGAGGCCGUAACGACGGCGGUCUACCUCCUGAACAGGUCAACAACGAAGAGUGUGGCGGGGUCGACCCCGCACGAGGCCUGGUGCGGGCGGCGUCCAAACGUCGAGCACCUGCGCGUGUUCGGGAGCGUCGCGCACGUCAAGGUGACACGCCCAAACCUGUCGAAACUUGAAGACAGGAGCACACCCAUGGUCUUCAUCGGCUACGAGCCGGGAUCGGCGGCUUAUCGCGUUUUCCACCCGCCGUCGAAUCGCGUCCUGGUCUCGAGGGAUGUCGUGUUCGAUUAG
RNAcentral lists this ribosomal RNA (2460 nucleotides) under Triticum aestivum (bread wheat). Its description in RNAcentral is "partial small subunit ribosomal RNA". Lineage: Eukaryota; Viridiplantae; Streptophyta; Magnoliopsida; Poales; Poaceae. The record is from RNAcentral.